Molecule: long non-coding RNA, 304 nt
Organism: Rosa chinensis
Lineage: Eukaryota; Viridiplantae; Streptophyta; Magnoliopsida; Rosales; Rosaceae
Exons: 3
Source: RefSeq, a predicted model, not a curated record
UUGAUUUCAAAUCGAAGAAGAGCUCAUGUCGUAAAAGCUCUUCGAAUCCCUUCUCUCACUUUGAGCUCAGAACCUCCUCUACUCUCACUUCCGGCUCUCGAUUUUGCAGAUUGGUUUUGCUUUCUUGAAAUAAUCUUGUUCGUGAUACUUUGUCUGCCAUCUACUUCUGGAAUAACAAAAAUCCGAGAAAAAAACAGACUGGCGGAAAUUAUAGUAGCAAGCAGCAACCGAGAUGAUGAUGGCGACAACGAGAAUGCAGGAGGAAUUGUUUUCAAAAGGUUACGGCAUUUGAGACUUCUUCAAC